RNAcentral lists this ribosomal RNA (371 nucleotides) under uncultured bacterium. RNAcentral describes it as "bacterial SSU rRNA". It matches the Rfam family "Bacterial small subunit ribosomal RNA", at positions 527 to 896 of the family's 1533-position model. The record is from RNAcentral.
GUAGGGGGCAAGCGUUGUCCGGAUUUAUUGGGCGUAAAGAGCGUGUAGGCGGCCGCACAGGUCCGUUGUGAAAACUGGAGGCUUAACCUUCAGACGUCGAUGGAAACCGUGCGGCUAGAGUCCGGAAGAGGAGAAUGGAAUUCCUGGUGUAGCGGUGAAAUGCGCAGAUAUCAGGAAGAACACCCGUGGCUAAGGCGGUUCUCUAGUACGGUACUGACGCUGAGACGCGAAAGCGUGGGGAGCGAACAGGAUUAGAUACCCUGGUAGUCCACGCCGUAAACGAUGGGUGCUAGGUGUGGGGGGUGUCGGCUCCCCCCGUGCCGAAGCUAACGCAUUAAGCACCCCGCCUGGGGAGUACGGCCGCAAGGCUA